RNAcentral lists this unclassified non-coding RNA (1566 nucleotides) under Agrilus planipennis (emerald ash borer). RNAcentral's name for it is "probable RNA 3'-terminal phosphate cyclase-like protein, transcript variant X2". Lineage: Eukaryota; Metazoa; Arthropoda; Insecta; Coleoptera; Buprestidae. The record is from RNAcentral.
AUUUAGAAGGUCUAUGGUCAGACAGCAUGUAGAUAAUAUGGUUAUGUUGUGAUUUUUUAAAAUGUGUUCUACUUCACAGUAAAAGUUUUUAACAAUAAAAAUUGAUAAUGCAAUUAUUUGUAUUCACCUCCAACAUAAUCUAAAAUAAAAUGCCGAAAGCAGUAGCAGUAAAAGGCAACGUGCUUUCGUAUAAAGGUAGUGCGUACCUUCGACAACGUUUAGUUUUGGCUGUAUUAAGUGGGAAAAGUGUUAAAAUCGAAGAUAUUAGAAAAUAUGAUAUAGAUCCUGGUAUACAAGAGUUUGAAGUAAACUUAGUGCGAUUGCUUGAUAAAGUAACAAAUGGUUCUUAUAUUAAAUUGGAUGAAACAGGUACAAGUUUAUUUUUUCAACCAGGAAUGAUUCAUGGGGGCACUAUUGAACAUGACUGUUCCCUUGACCGUUCAAUAGGUUAUUAUUUAGAAGUAUUAAUUUUAUUGGCUCCCUUUUGUAAAAAUCCUCUGCAUGUAACUCUCAAAGGUGUGACAAACAAUAAAAUAGAUCCUUCAGUAGACCACAUAAAGGCUUCAGUGUUACCUGUUCUUAGAAAGUUUAUGUUGAAUGAUGAAGGUUUGGAACUUAAAAUAUUAAAAAGAGGUAUGAGACCACUUGGAGGUGGAGAAGUUGUAUUUAAAUGCCCCAUUCAAAAUCAACUUAAUCCUGUUCAUAUAUUAAAUCAAGGAAAGGUAAAGAGGAUCCGAGGUACAGCUUAUGCUGUAAGAGUUUCACCAACCAUGGCAAAUCGAAUGGUAGAAGCUGCUAAAGGAGUGUUACUGAAGUUUAUUCCUGAUGUUUUCGUAACUACUGAUCAUUGCAGGGGUAAACAGUCAGGAAAUAGUCCAGGCUUUGGCAUUCAUUUAGUUGCUGAAACCACUGAAGGGGUAUUUUAUUCAGCAGAAGCAAUUUCCAACCUCGUCGCUGAAGAUAAAGAACCUUCUGUUGCUGAAGAUGUUGGUGUAACUGCAGCCCAAAGAUUGCUCAUAGAAAUAUACCAAGGAGGAUGCGUCGAUUCUGUUGCUCAAUCAAUAGCAUGCGUUUUUAUGACCCUAGGCCAAAAAAAUGUUUCAAGAAUAAUUGUUGGAUCACUUACCGACUAUACAAUCGCUUUCCUACGGAAUAUUCGGGACUUUUUUGGCAUCACGUUCAAGGUUGAUUACUACAUUGAAGAAGAUUCUAAUCCUGAAGAGCAAGAAGGUGCACCUAAAAUCAGUUUGAUUUGCAUUGGUGCUGGAUAUACAAAUUUGAACAAACGUUAUCUCUAGUGAAGUUUACUUUAGGUAAUUGUUAUUUCUUUCUGUUUUAUUAAUUUGUUGGUCAGGCAAAACUGUUUAAUACUUGACUAAUAUAUUUUAUUUUUUUAAUUAUAAAUAAGUAAUUAAUUUUAAAAGCCCAAUUUAAACUUUUUUACCUUAAAACUUCAAGUAAUAAACAGUUACUUAACAUAUUAAUUUGGUGAAUAUCACAUUGGGAUGUUUAUAAGCACUACAUUGUAAUUAAAUUAUUUAUAAAUUUCUACACAAAUUUACUGAG